RNAcentral lists this microRNA precursor (60 nucleotides) under Cavia porcellus (domestic guinea pig). Its description in RNAcentral is "microRNA cpo-mir-12084 precursor". Lineage: Eukaryota; Metazoa; Chordata; Mammalia; Rodentia; Caviidae. The record is from miRBase by way of RNAcentral.
AGCCUGGGUGACAGCCGGACGGAUCCUGCGCUCUAACGUCGCGGCUGUUGCCCAAGCGUU